UUCGUGUGUACAAGAUUGAUUUAAAAUUGUUUUUAAUGGUUUAAUGUACCUUUUGUAUCAUGAUUUUUUGAGUGUAAUUACAGUAUUGUAUGUCCCGAAAGAUUUACGAUUUUGUUUAGUCUAAUCAACUAGCUGAAUUUUUUGGUUAGAGGGGUUACAGGUUAUUAAGUAGAUUUCUAAAGAGACUAAAUAAGUAGUGAUAAAUUACCCGUGUAAUCUUAUAUCUGGUUGGUAACUUGUUUAUCGAGUUGUGUGGAAAGUUGAUUGUGUUGAUUUUCUAAAGCAGAGAUUUAAUUUUUGUUAUGGGUAGUCUUAGAUUAAGAUUGUCUUUGGAUUAGGAAGUUAUUUACAUAGCUUUGUUCACUACUAUGGUAAUAUCUUGCUUGAUUUGGUAGUUACCUUUAUAAUUGGUUGUAUAAUGAUGAAGGAAUUAGUAGGUUUAUGGUUGAAAUAGUUGUCUUUUUUUUCGGUGAUGCUUUCGACUGUUUAUUAAAAACAUUUCUAUCUGAUGAGGUUUAGAUAGUAUGACCUGCCCAAUGAAAGUAAACAUGAAUGGCCGCAGCUUUAGCUGUGCUAAGGUAGCAUAAUAUAUAGUUUUUUGAUUGGAGACUUGUGAAUGGUUGAACGAAAGGUGUCUAAAAUGAUAAUUAUAUCUGAAUUUAGUUUAGUGGUGAGGAACCCAUUUUUUAGAUAUAGGACGGAAAGACCCCAAGAGUUUUACUAUUUGUUUAGUUUUAUUUGGGGUAAAUGUGCGUAAUUCAUUAUUUAUUUUAUGAUCCUAUUGGAUAGAGGAUAAAAUUACCUUGGGGAUAACUGAGUAAAGGGCAGUAAGAGAUCAUAUUGAGCUGUUUGUUACUACCUCGAUGUUGGCUUGUUGUACCUAUUUGGUGUAGAGGCUAAAUUUAGGAAGUCUGUUCGACUAUUAAUUCUUCAUGAGCUGAGUUAAGACCGGUGUAAGCCAGGUUGGUUCUUAUCUAUAUUUGAUUCUGGCUAGUACGAAAGGAGGGUUGGGGUAUACUGUAGUAUAAUUUCAGAUCUUUUAGGUUUGAUAAUGAAAA
RNAcentral lists this ribosomal RNA (1058 nucleotides) under Schistosoma guineensis. Its description in RNAcentral is "large subunit ribosomal RNA". The stretch from base 692 to 979 matches the Rfam family "Archaeal large subunit ribosomal RNA", at positions 2151 to 2715 of the family's 2987-position model. The record is from RNAcentral. Lineage: Eukaryota; Metazoa; Platyhelminthes; Trematoda; Strigeidida; Schistosomatidae.